Molecule: transfer RNA, 87 nt
Filed under: Gimibacter soli
Lineage: Bacteria; Pseudomonadati; Pseudomonadota; Alphaproteobacteria; Kordiimonadales; Temperatibacteraceae
Description: Kordiimonadaceae bacterium 6D33 tRNA-Leu
Rfam family: tRNA
About the family: Transfer RNA (tRNA) molecules are approximately 80 nucleotides in length. Their secondary structure includes four short double-helical elements and three loops (D, anti-codon, and T loops). Further hydrogen bonds mediate the characteristic L-shaped molecular structure. tRNAs have two regions of fundamental functional importance: the anti-codon, which is responsible for specific mRNA codon recognition, and the 3' end, to which the tRNAs corresponding amino acid is attached (by aminoacyl-tRNA synthetases). tRNAs cope with the degeneracy of the genetic code in two manners: having more than one tRNA (with a specific anti-codon) for a particular amino acid; and 'wobble' base-pairing, i.e. permitting non-standard base-pairing at the 3rd anti-codon position.
Source: RNAcentral
GCCCAGGUGGCGGAAUUGGUAGACGCGCUAGCUUCAGGUGCUAGUGACCGUACGGUCGUGGGGGUUCGAGUCCCUUCCUGGGCACCA